CAGCAGCCACGGUAAUACGAAGGGGGCUAGCGCUGCUCGGAAUCACUGGGCGUAAAGGGUGCGUAGGCGGGUCUUUAAGUCAGGGGUGAAAUCCUGGAGCUCAACUCCAGAACUGCCUUUGAUACUGAGGAUCUUGAGUUCGGGAGAGGUGAGUGGAACUGCGAGUGUAGAGGUGAAAUUCGUAGAUAUUCGCAAGAACACCAGUGGCGAAGGCGGCUCACUGGCCCGAUACUGACGCUGAGGCACGAAAGCGUGGGGAGCAAACAGGAUUAGAUACCCCGGUAGUCCCUGUCUCUUAUAC
This 301-nucleotide ribosomal RNA is filed under the name uncultured bacterium. RNAcentral's name for it is "partial 16S ribosomal RNA". It matches the Rfam family "Bacterial small subunit ribosomal RNA", at positions 509 to 807 of the family's 1533-position model. The record is from RNAcentral.